Molecule: ribosomal RNA, 438 nt
Filed under: uncultured Roseovarius sp.
Lineage: Bacteria; Pseudomonadati; Pseudomonadota; Alphaproteobacteria; Rhodobacterales; Roseobacteraceae
Description: bacterial SSU rRNA
Rfam family: Bacterial small subunit ribosomal RNA
Source: RNAcentral
GGUGGACGGGUUAGUAACGCGUGGGAACGUGCCCAGAUCUACGGAAUAGCCACUGGAAACGGUGAGUAAUACCGUAUACGCCCUUCGGGGGAAAGAUUUAUCGGAUUUGGAUCGGCCCGCGUUAGAUUAGGUAGUUGGUGGGGUAACGGCCUACCAAGCCUACGUUCUAUAGCUGGUUUUAGAGGAUGAUCAGCAACACUGGGACUGAGACACGGCCCAGACUCCUACGGGAGGCAGCAGUGGGGAAUCUUAGACAAUGGGCGCAAGCCUGAUCUAGCCAUGCCGCGUGAGUGAUGAAGGCCUUAGGGUCGUAAAGCUCUUUCGCCUGUGAUGAUAAUGACAGUAGCAGGUAAAGAAACCCCGGCUAACUCCGUGCCAGCAGCCGCGGUAAUACGGAGGGGGUUAGCGUUGUUCGGAAUUACUGGGCGUAAAGCGCAC